Molecule: ribosomal RNA, 253 nt
Filed under: uncultured bacterium
Lineage: Bacteria
Description: partial 16S ribosomal RNA
Rfam family: Bacterial small subunit ribosomal RNA
Source: RNAcentral
UACGGGGGGGGCAAGCGUUAUUCGGAAUUACUGGGCGUAAAGGGCGCGUAGGCGGCCUGGUUAGUGGAAAGUGAAAGCCCUCGGCUCAACCGAGGAAUUGCUUCCCAUACUGCCAGGCUAGAGGAUGGGAGAGGAGAGUGGAAUUCCCGGUGUAGCGGUGAAAUGCGUAGAGAUCGGGAGGAACACCAGUGGCGAAGGCGGCUCUCUGGACCAUUACUGACGCUGAGGCGCGAAAGCGUGGGGAGCAAACAGG